RNAcentral lists this ribosomal RNA (435 nucleotides) under Salmonella enterica. Its description in RNAcentral is "bacterial SSU rRNA". It matches the Rfam family "Bacterial small subunit ribosomal RNA", at positions 1 to 432 of the family's 1533-position model. The record is from RNAcentral. Lineage: Bacteria; Pseudomonadati; Pseudomonadota; Gammaproteobacteria; Enterobacterales; Enterobacteriaceae. RNAcentral also lists the same sequence under 1 other name.
AAAUUGAAGAGUUUGAUCAUGGCUCAGAUUGAACGCUGGCGGCAGGCCUAACACAUGCAAGUCGAACGGUAACAGGAAGCAGCUUGCUGCUUCGCUGACGAGUGGCGGACGGGUGAGUAAUGUCUGGGAAACUGCCUGAUGGAGGGGGAUAACUACUGGAAACGGUGGCUAAUACCGCAUAACGUCGCAAGACCAAAGAGGGGGACCUUCGGGCCUCUUGCCAUCAGAUGUGCCCAGAUGGGAUUAGCUUGUUGGUGAGGUAACGGCUCACCAAGGCGACGAUCCCUAGCUGGUCUGAGAGGAUGACCAGCCACACUGGAACUGAGACACGGUCCAGACUCCUACGGGAGGCAGCAGUGGGGAAUAUUGCACAAUGGGCGCAAGCCUGAUGCAGCCAUGCCGCGUGUAUGAAGAAGGCCUUCGGGUUGUAAAGUA